GAUGAAGAACGUAGCGAAAUGCGAUAAGUAAUGUGAAUUGCAGAAUUCAGUGAAUCAUCGAAUCUUUGAACGCACAUUGCGCCCGCCAGUAUUCUGGCGGGCAUGCCUGUUCGAGCGUCAUUUCAACCCUCAGGCCCCCAGUGCCUGGUGUUGGGGAUCGGCCCAGCCUUCCUGUAAGGCCGCCGGCCCCGAAAUCUAGUGGCGGUCUCGCUGUAGUCCUCCUCUGCGUAGUAGCACAACCUCGCAGUUGGAACGCGGCGGUGGCCAUGCCGUUAAACACCCCCCUUCUGAAAGUUGACCUCGGAUCAGGUAGGAAUACCCGCUGAACUUAAGCAUAUCAAUAAGCGGAGGA
RNAcentral lists this unclassified non-coding RNA (352 nucleotides) under soil metagenome. RNAcentral describes it as "partial contains 5.8S ribosomal RNA, internal transcribed spacer 2, and large subunit ribosomal RNA". The stretch from base 1 to 120 matches the Rfam family "5.8S ribosomal RNA", at positions 35 to 154 of the family's 154-position model. The record is from RNAcentral.